This 253-nucleotide ribosomal RNA is filed under the name uncultured bacterium. RNAcentral's name for it is "partial 16S ribosomal RNA". It matches the Rfam family "Bacterial small subunit ribosomal RNA", at positions 524 to 776 of the family's 1533-position model. The record is from RNAcentral.
UACGUAGGGGGCAAGCGUUGUCCGGAAUCAUUGGGCGUAAAGAGCGUGUAGGCGGCCCGGUAAGUCCGCUGUGAAAGCCGGGGGCUCAACCCUCGAAUGCCGGUGGAUACUGUCGGGCUAGAGUGCGGAAGAGGCGAGUGGAAUUCCUGGUGUAGCGGUGAAAUGCGCAGAUAUCAGGAGGAACACCAAUUGCGAAGGCAGCUCGCUGGGACGUAACUGACGCUGAGACGCGAAAGCGUGGGGAGCAAACAGG